Motacilla alba alba is the source of this 3073-nucleotide long non-coding RNA. RefSeq lists it as uncharacterized. The record is from RefSeq and is a predicted model, not a curated record. NCBI's taxonomy places the organism in Eukaryota, Metazoa, Chordata, Aves, Passeriformes, Motacillidae. The transcript is spliced from 4 exons.
UGAAAACCCCUUGUUCAUGAAGAAUGCAUACUAAUUGUUUUUGGCAGAAUAAAUGAUUUCUUUUUUUUCUGCUUCAGUAGAACUGGUUGACUUUUAACAACUCAAUUAUCUUCUCUAAGUGAAGAGGGUGGGCCCUUGAGGUCAAGAAGAAGUUACAUGUAGAAAGAAAGGACAAACAGAAAUGGACAGAAAUUGAAGUGCCCUGAGGUUACAUGGAUGAGUUUCAUUAGGUACACUUUUCAAAGAUGCCCUGGAAGGAAAAAAGGAAGAGCAUUUUGGUUUGGGUUUUGUCAGCAUCAUGGGAAAGGUCAGGUGAGAGAUAAAAAUUAACAGCAGUAAGAUCAUGAGGUUGAAAGUAAUGCAUACCAAUUUCUCUCCAGGAGAAUGACUGGACAGAGUUACUCUAUAAAUGCUAGAAAUCACAGAGCUGCAGUUAGGGAAUCUGAAAAAUAUUAUUGAGAACCAGCAGCAUGAAAACUGAGGAUAAGAUAAACAGCAGCAAUGGAUCAUCCAGUCAUAAUGUGAUCAGGUAGCAGGAAGCACAUUUAUCCUUUGUGCAGCACAAGAGGAGGAGGAGGACUGAAGCAUUUGUCUUGGCAGGAGGCCCAUGAGAAAGUGAAGGGCCAAUGAAAGGUCUGAGGCAAGAUGGAAGACUGAAGAGAGAGAGCUGUCCUGUGAAGAUGCUCUGUUUUUGAAUUACUUAGACCAAGAAAUGGAGGCAAAGUGUUUUGCUUACCUGGUCCAAACACAGAAGAAGGAAUAUUUAAAAGGACAUGAGGAGGGCAGACUCUCACAGGCAAAUCUUACCUUUUGCUCUGGAGCAAUAAAAACUGCCGUAGAAAGAGGACUUUGGAAGUAAGGUCAUACUGCACCGAGGCUUCACCAGUGACACAGGAGGUACUGAGUGUUAUCUAGAAUGUGUUUCCUGCAUCCAAAAGUCACACUGUGCUCAAGUGGCCUGAGAAAAGAGAAGGAAGACAUGUGGCUGCUUGGAGUCACAGCAACACUGGGUGGUCCCCAGGAGCACAGGCUGGAACUUAAUCUCCACAUCUCCAGCUCCAGCUCCAUGAGGAGAGUUGUGCCAACAGUAUAAACUUAAAAUUUAACCAGAUGUGUCUUUGAACAAAAUCACAAUAUUCUGGGUCCAAUCAGUGUAGUUGUUAAUUCCUAAUGCUAUAUAUAAUAUGGAUAGUCAUACAAGAAAAACACUAUCCAGCAGACACAUUUUUUGGGCCAGAGCAGAGUUGUGAAGUGACCUGUAGCCUCAAACUGACCAUGGGUGUGCAAAAUAUCCAGCUCUAGUGGCUGUUCCACCAGCAACUUCUUGUUGAGAGUCACUUGACCAACCCGUGCAGCAGAAGUGCUCAGUGAGGGAUGGGAGGUACAGAAGCUGUUCUGUGAGGUGAAGUACUUCCUUGAUACUGGGCUUCCGGGGAGUUAAAUAAACCCUAAAUCCCAUAACUGACAGAGUGAAGCAACCUUUGAUGGAAGGGCUUUUCUCUGCUUGACUUUGCUUGUUUGCUCAGCAGAUUUACAGCAAAGGCUUGCAAUGUCCCAAGAGUGACUGAGGGGCGUGGAGGACACACAUGGAGGUUCCCCAGAAGUGCACACUAGGUUUAUUUGGCAGAGGAGGAAGAAAACCAAGAACAUACCUGUGGCUAUUGCAGCUUGUCCUGCUCUACAGAGAUGGGUUGAACUUUCAGCAAGGUGUAUACUCGGUCUGAGUUCAGACUAAGCCUGGACUAAGCUCCCUUUACUCAGUGAAGAGAGACUGACUACUGCCAGUCAGAGGACUGACCAUGUACCUACCUCCCUUUGGGCAGUUGUUUGUAAGAGAAGUAAUUUCUGGCAUCAACACCUAUCUUAAGGUAUUUCUACUCCCACACUACCCCUUCAGCUGUACCAGCAUGACUGCUUGUGCAAUGAUGCUGCAAAAUGGAUCAGACAGCAGACUAGUGAAGUAAGUUUCUUUUAUCUGUGCAGCCUGUCUGACUCUAAAAAGCUCAUUGAUGUGCACAGCUGUGAGAACGGCACCAAGCACAAGCAGGAAUCCUGUAAGGCUGCAUUACUGCUGAAGGUUUCGCUUCAUGUCAUCCCAACUUCAGGUGGUUUGUACCAUUGGUUUGUACACAAAGCCUGUCUCGGCAGACUCUCAUGUACCAUCCCCAGAUUUUAUGAUUAUUUCAUGUGAUUAUACUGGUCAUCUGUAAACUUCUGAGUUUAAGAGGGAGAUUGUCAAAAGCUUGAAGGGCAUAUGGAGCUCUGUUUUCUUCAGAUGUCAGAAAACUGAGGCCUCUGUACAUUUCAAAAGCAGCAUUUGUUACUUAAAACACUACUUUAAGAAGAGAUAGCAGGGAGAUGGUCUCUCAAGAACCAUGAUUCACAUUACCAUUGUUCAUUUUGACUUCUGCCAACAUGGAAAUGAUUGCCUUGUACCCAUUGUUUUGCAGGGUCUUUGCUAAGGAGUCUUGGUUUCUUGGACUGGUGAAAUAAGGGAUUACAAUAAUAUAAUGGCAUCUUAUGCUUAUCUGGAAAUGAGAAUACAUAAAAGAGGAGUUUUCCUCUAUCGCUGUCCUACCUGAAUCUUUCUUCUGUGUUUAACACUGAACAUCAGCCCUUCUUUCAGAAUAUACCCAAAACAAACAGCUGAAGCACAACAAAGGCAGUGAACUGAACCCACAGACAAUAGUUAUUAUUGCCCUUCCAAGAAGAAUUGAGAGAAAAGUCACAGCUUCUCCAGCAGCUAUCCCUUGGAUGGCAUACUUCAGCACAGCACCUCUCAUCUAUCUCAUCAGGGUGAUGUAGAGAUUUCAUGGUAAAUUCUUAGACUUUAGUAAUCAGAUAAGCCUGUCCAGGCACAUAGUGCUGUGCUUACAACCACCUUCUGCAAGAAAAAAAAUUGUUUCUUCCUGUGAAGGCCGAUAAGCUGUGGAUUCCUAUUCUAUUUGCUCGAGAUUCAUCUCCUGUCAAAACUUGUGUUGAUUCUCAGUUAAUUUUAAGUUCAAGCACUUUGUUACAAAAGCUAAUCCUGCAAUAAUAGUUGGAAGUCCUAUGCACAUCUUUUUUUUUUUUU